RNAcentral lists this ribosomal RNA (452 nucleotides) under uncultured organism. Its description in RNAcentral is "partial 16S ribosomal RNA". It matches the Rfam family "Bacterial small subunit ribosomal RNA", at positions 333 to 801 of the family's 1533-position model. The record is from RNAcentral.
ACACUCCUACGGGAGGCAACAGUGGGGAAUAUUGGACAAUGGGCGCAAGCCUGAUCCAGCCAUGCCGCGUGAGUGAUGAAGGCCCUAGGGUUGUAAAGCUCUUUCACCGGUGAAGAUAAUGACGGUAACCGGAGAAGAAGCCCCGGCUAACUUCGUGCCAGCAGCCGCGGUAAUACGAAGGGGGCUAGCGUUGUUCGGAUUUACUGGGCGUAAAGCGCACGUAGGCGGACUAUUAAGUCAGGGGUGAAAUCCCGGGGCUCAACCCCGGAACUGCCUUUGAUACUGGUAGUCUUGAGUUCGAGAGAGGUGAGUGGAAUUCCGAGUGUAGAGGUGAAAUUCGUAGAUAUUCGGAGGAACACCAGUGGCGAAGGCGGCUCACUGGCUCGAUACUGACGCUGAGGUGCGAAAGCGUGGGGAGCAAACAGGAUUAGAAACCCCAGUAGUCCCAUGAU